AAAAUCGAGUUCUUUUAUUGUGAAUCUUGGUAGGAGAUAAAUCGCUGUUAUUGAUACAUCUGCGUGCAUACAUUUUAUCUGAAUUGUGGUAGCCUGCAUAGCGUUUUCACUGGUACUGUCCAUGAUUUGAAAUUUAAGUCCCUGCUUGACAAUAAUUGCAGCAUCUCCAUGAGCUAUUUGAUGGAUGGUCAGCUCUUACUGUGUCGUAUCCACAGUUAGUGGAGUGUGUGAAGUGAAGUGUGUUUCUGAAAUAAGCAUGACGUCAAUGGCAUUCGUUUUUAAAAAUAAGGCUAUUUCAUUUACAUGGUUGGAAAGUCCAUUGGCAUUCCAUAUUCCUAAGUUUAGAUUUAUUUGCAUAGCUUAUUUACAAGUAACAUUAUCAUGUUAAGUAAAUUAUUGGUAAAUUGAGAUUGUUUUUCAAGAAGCUGUUCUAUUCUUUAUAGAGACUUGUUCAAGGUACUAUUUCCUGCAGCAACUUGAGCGUAUGAUUGGUAAUCUUUGGGUUGUUGGGUCGAAUUAUUAAACGGAGCAAAUGAUUGAGAUGUACCAUGGUCAUUUUUAUUAUUGCCAUCUUUGGUUUUUCUGCUGGUUGCUCUUUAUCUUUUGGGCAAAUGUUGCUGGGAUGGUUAAGAGAGCAUAUUUUGAGGGUGAGUUUUGGCACAAUAUGACUUUGUGUGUCCAAAUUCCUGGCAACGAUAACACUGAACGAUUUUUUUGUUUUUACGGGGUGGUUCUAUAUUAACAACUGCGUUACCAAUGAGUUUAACUUUGUAAAUAUCUAAGUUCUUAUUGUUGGGCUCAAUGUCUUAGUAGAACAAAUUCACUAGCUCUUUGGUAACACGACUUUUAAUAUUACUAAUGUUUCUAACAGAGUGGCCUUUGCACUCCACAUCUUGUUUGAUUAGGUCGAUAUCCGUUGAGAAGUGCAAAUUCUUAAUAACAAUUCUCAUGUUUAAGUUGGUAUGUGUGAAAUUUGACAAAAUCUUUUUUCGUGUUCGUCUUCAUUUCCUUUAUUUGGCGUGCUGUCGCUUAGGAGGACAUAUUGAUUGGAGCUGGUGCUGGGUGCUAAGUCCAGAGCGAUUUUUACUUUAGUAGAAUCGGAGAAGCCUUUGGCUUCGGUUUUACUCUCUGCCAGUUCUAAACCGUUGUGUCGUCUUCGUCGUCGUUCAUGAUAACAACACGUUGUUAUUGCUUAUCACUAACCACUGUUUUGUUUGUUUUUGUUUUGUGAAUGGAUUAACUGUUAAUAGGACUUUUGCUUUAU
Molecule: long non-coding RNA, 1264 nt
Filed under: Drosophila guanche
Lineage: Eukaryota; Metazoa; Arthropoda; Insecta; Diptera; Drosophilidae
Source: RNAcentral